Molecule: ribosomal RNA, 1188 nt
Filed under: Staphylococcus aureus
Lineage: Bacteria; Bacillati; Bacillota; Bacilli; Caryophanales; Staphylococcaceae
Description: partial 23S ribosomal RNA
Rfam family: Bacterial large subunit ribosomal RNA
Source: RNAcentral
GCAAACCGACACAGGUAGUCAAGAUGAGAAUUCUAAGGUGAGCGAGCGAACUCUCGUUAAGGAACUCGGCAAAAUGACCCCGUAACUUCGGGAGAAGGGGUGCUCUUUAGGGUUAACGCCCAGAAGAGCCGCAGUGAAUAGGCCCAAGCGACUGUUUAUCAAAAACACAGGUCUCUGCUAAACCGUAAGGUGAUGUAUAGGGGCUGACGCCUGCCCGGUGCUGGAAGGUUAAGAGGAGUGGUUAGCUUCUGCGAAGCUACGAAUCGAAGCCCCAGUAAACGGCGGCCGUAACUAUAACGGUCCUAAGGUAGCGAAAUUCCUUGUCGGGUAAGUUCCGACCCGCACGAAAGGCGUAACGAUUUGGGCACUGUCUCAACGAGAGACUCGGUGAAAUCAUAGUACCUGUGAAGAUGCAGGUUACCCGCGACAGGACGGAAAGACCCCGUGGAGCUUUACUGUAGCCUGAUAUUGAAAUUCGGCACAGCUUGUACAGGAUAGGUAGGAGCCUUUGAAACGUGAGCGCUAGCUUACGUGGAGGCGCUGGUGGGAUACUACCCUAGCUGUGUUGGCUUUCUAACCCGCACCACUUAUCGUGGUGGGAGACAGUGUCAGGCGGGCAGUUUGACUGGGGCGGUCGCCUCCUAAAAGGUAACGGAGGCGCUCAAAGGUUCCCUCAGAAUGGUUGGAAAUCAUUCAUAGAGUGUAAAGGCAUAAGGGAGCUUGACUGCGAGACCUACAAGUCGAGCAGGGUCGAAAGACGGACUUAGUGAUCCGGUGGUUCCGCAUGGAAGGGCCAUCGCUCAACGGAUAAAAGCUACCCCGGGGAUAACAGGCUUAUCUCCCCCAAGAGUUCACAUCGACGGGGAGGUUUGGCACCUCGAUGUCGGCUCAUCGCAUCCUGGGGCUGUAGUCGGUCCCAAGGGUUGGGCUGUUCGCCCAUUAAAGCGGUACGCGAGCUGGGUUCAGAACGUCGUGAGACAGUUCGGUCCCUAUCCGUCGUGGGCGUAGGAAAUUUGAGAGGAGCUGUCCUUAGUACGAGAGGACCGGGAUGGACAUACCUCUGGUGUACCAGUUGUCGUGCCAACGGCAUAGCUGGGUAGCUAUGUGUGGACGGGAUAAGUGCUGAAAGCAUCUAAGCAUGAAGCCCCCCUCAAGAUGAGAUUUCCCAACUUCGGUUAUAAGAUCCCU